Long non-coding RNA from Lagenorhynchus albirostris (white-beaked dolphin), 637 nucleotides. RefSeq lists it as uncharacterized. The transcript has 4 exons. Lineage: Eukaryota; Metazoa; Chordata; Mammalia; Artiodactyla; Delphinidae. The record is from RefSeq and is a predicted model, not a curated record.
UUAGAGACACUGCAGUCUCACUCCUUAAUCCUGCUGGAACAUUUACAGCAUCACGGGAUGUCUCCUUUGAAUGUCAAGAUUAAGAAUGUAAUCCUUUAAAAUUUGGCUCAGACAUAUACAGAAGUGAAAUUAGGUUUUUCACUUUUUAAAAGGAUGGCAGAGAGAUACUAUAUAGGUACUGUUCUGGGUACCGAGGAUACAGAGUGAUAAUGAGCAUUUUUGCCUAGUUUCAAAUUUUAAAGGUAUUCUUCCAAUGUUUCAUCUCUAAAUAUAACAUUUCCUGAGGAUGGAGAAAAUUCCCUUUUAUUCCAAGUUUGCUAAGCUAUUGUUUGAAAUGAAUGAGAGUUGUUUCAUCUGUUGUUUUUCAGAUGCUAAAACAACCACCAAAUGGAAGAAAUUAACUACUUGAUGAUAGUGAUCAAGUAGCCUGCAGACCUACUGACGCCUAAGGAUUGAUAAUGUCAACUGCCCUGUUACCUCACCAUCAACCAGAGAAUUGUGCAUGAGCUGAUCACGUACCCUCGGACACCCUUCCCUCACCUGGUCUUUAUAAAUGCUUUGCUGAAACCCGUGGGGGAGUUCAGGGUGUUUUUGAGCAGAAGCCACCUGUUCUCCUUGCAUGGCCCUGUAAUAAACC